UUUAAGACUAAGGGCCAUCCUUUUUCUUUUGUGAAAAUGCGGAUUAUAUUCAUGUAUGUUAAUGAUAAUUAGUUAAAAAUGAAGAAACGAAUUUAAGGAGACAGGUGGCAAAACAAGUGGGGAAGUAAAAAAGUCCAGCUUGCUUCAUCACACAAUAGAUAGCCCAUAAAAAACUGAGCACAUAUCAAGCCUGAAAACAGGAAGGAAAUGUACUGAACUGUGAAAAAAAGGCAAAAAGGAAACAGUGACGGUUCAAGGACAAGAAGUGCAAUAUAGAACAACUUUAAAACAGCAGUGGUGUCUUCGUUAAGUGGUCACAGUUUUGGACUUCCAAGUGUACGAGCCGUGUUCUAAACUCCCUCAUGUCAUAUAUUUUUAUUUAUUUAUUUUUUAACAAUAUUAUGAAAUGUGCAUCCACUCAUUGAAAUGUUUGUUCUCUUUUUGUAGUCUUGGCAAGUAAGAGUCAUGUGUUAAGAAUAGUUACCGUCACAAGUAAAUGUGAUGAAUAGCGAGUGCAGGUGAGAUACCACAUAGACAUCUCACAGAAAUGAAAUCAACAAAUAAACAGAUGUGAACUACAUUACAACAAAAGAAUUCAAGAGUCAAAACCUCCAAAAUCGAAUGCAACUUCAACUUCAAGAACAUUAAAAACAUAUGUUUUGACAAAGCACAGAGACUGUGUGAUUGUGAAACUGUUGUGUUCAUUUGUUAGAGCUUAUGUGACAAACUAUUAUGUUUUCAUCAUUUUCUUGGGAGUGAUCACAUUCAUAUGAACACCUAAAUCAGGCAAGGAGGCAUAUCUCACUCACUUACCAGGUGUACAAAUUAGAUGCGUCAGUAAGAGAUCCCUAUCGUAUGACACAUGUACUGUCACUAACGCCAUGUAUGACACACUAGACAUGUUUUCUGGUGGAGGAUUCAGUUAACUUGUCGCCUUGUCACAAAUGUUUGUGGUUCCUAUUCGAAAGCCACUUCCUUUCGGCUGCUAAUAGAGUAAUUGUGCAGAGUCAACUGUCAUCAUAAGUCCCUUCCUGAUACCUUGCUGUUGCAAAUGGACAUUACACCGCAACACACACACACACACACACACACACACACACACACACACACACACACACACACACACAUAAAUUUGAUACAGUGAACGUUGGAGGAAAGCUAACACUUAUCCACAUCAUCAUUGCUCUGUCAAGCUGAUCUACAUUGCAGGUCUUGCCCGUGGACCAUUCACUGUUUGUAUUUUGGUUUUCCUACACAAUUCAGCAUACAUUCUCACUAUUUUCAUGCUUUAUCUGUGUUCAGUUUUCCAUGGGAUAUCCAUGGGGCCCUCUUGCCACUAAAUGUGCAAUGGGGAGUUUCCCUUGUGGAAAAUACACUAAUAAACAUGUUUUCAACUGUUGUAUGCUUACUGAACCAAUAAUGCAUCUCCUUAGCGCUAGUUACACUAAUAGUAUGUGGAGUUCAGUACAGUGAAUGUACACUGAGGUGACAAAAGUCGUGGGGUGUCUCCCAAUACCAUGUCAGACAUCCUUUUGCUGGAUGUAGUGCAGCAACUCGACAUGGCAUGAACUUAGCAAGUCAUUGGAAGUCCCCUGCAGAAAUAUCGAGACAUUCUGCUUCUGUAGUCAUCCAUAAUUGUGAAGGUGUUGCCAGUGCAGGAUUUCGUGCAUGAACUGGUCUUUUGGUUAUGUACCAUAAAUGUUCAAUGGUAUUCAUGUCGGGCAGUCUGGGUGGCCAAAUCAUUCACUCAAAUUGUCUAGAAUGUUCUUCAAACCAAUCGCACUCAAUUGUGGCACAGUGACAUGGUGCAUUGUCAUCCAUAAAAAUUCCAUCGAUGUUUGGGAAGAUGAAGCCCACACCAUUAUAGAGCCGCCGCCACCUUGCAUAGUGUCUUGUUGAGAACCAGGGUUCGUAGCUUUACUGCGUCUAUACCACACUCAACCCUACCAUCAGCUCUUACCAACUGAAAUUGGGACUCAUCUGACCAGGCCUCGGUUUUCCGGUCAUCUAAUGUCCAACUGAUAUGGUCAUGAGCCCAAGAGAGGUGUUGCAGGUGACACCAUGCUAUUAGCAAAGGCAUUUGCAUCAGUCUUCUGCUGCCAUAGCCCAUUAAUGCCAAAUUUUGCUACACAGUGCUAACCAAUACAUUCGUGGCUCCACCUACCAUUCCACAUUCAAAGUCUGUUAAUUCCUGCCGGCCGGGAUGGCCGAGCGGUUCUAGGCGCUACAGUCUGGAACUGCGCGACUGCUACGGUCACAGGUUCAAAUCCUGCCUUGGGCAUGGAUGUGUGUAAUGUCCUUAGGUUAGUUAGGUUUAAGUAGUUCUAAGUUCUAGGGGACUGAUGACCUCAGCAGUUAAGUCCCAUAGUGCUCAGAGCCAUUUGAACCAUUUUUGUUAAUUCCUGUUGUGUGGUCAUAAUCACGUUGGAUACCUUUUCACAUGAAUCACCUCAGUACAAAUGACACCUCCACCAAUGCACUGCCCUUUUAUACCUUCUGUACAUGAUACCACCGCCAUCUGUAUAUGUGCAUGUUGCUACAUCAUGACUUUUGUCACCUCAGUGUAAAUGUUAUUUAUGCAUCUACAUAUUUCUGCUUUGAAGCUUGUUCAGGAGGCAAAUCACUGAGCUAACAAGAACAUAGACUACAAAUUUAGAUGUUUUAUGAUUUCCUUCUUGUGUCAAGUGCAAGAAGGUAAACAUUAAACAUGCGUUACAUUAGAUAAAACCCCACAAUAAAUAUUAAUGUCUGAAUUUAGACAGUAAAUCUGCAUGUGUACUCUGUCAUUAGACUACAAACUUUGUAGUCUAAAGUGUUUUCAAUCCAAUUUGUUCAGCAAAAUAUCUUCAUGCAGGUGCUUAUAUACAGUUAACAGUCCUGGAGCAACCAAUGCAAAAGUGAAAAAAAAAAAAAAAAACAGUAGUCAUCUACUAGAUUUUAGUAAGUAAAAUUGAAAAGGCUGAACUGUAUUUACAGAAAGAUCUGCGGGUCAGCUGCAAAUGCAUUUCUUCCUCAGUAUCUAUAUCUCCUCUGUUUACUGGUAAUGUCCACUAAUUUCUUCAUUCUCUCAAGAAAUGAGCAUACAAAAUGCACCAUUAUUAUUGAUGAAACCUCCUGGCAGAUUAAUCUGGUUUUAAUAUGGGAGGAAGUUUCAUUUCACUGCAAUUCCUCUGUACAGUGAAAAUUUGUUCUGGAUUAUUAUUGAUGUAUAUAAGUCAUUUCACAUGCCUGUAUCAAAUGUGUAAUAAUCUUUUCGUUGUGCCUGUCUGCAACUCAGUGGGUCAUCCUUAGGGUGAGUAGCAGUCUAUCUUUUCCUGAUACUCUUGUUUCAAAUUUUAAUUUGUAUCAUGUCAUCCAUAAUUGAAAAUAAAAUGAUGUUAUUUUCACAAGAUAA
Long non-coding RNA from Schistocerca serialis cubense, 3394 nucleotides. RefSeq lists it as uncharacterized. The record is from RefSeq and is a predicted model, not a curated record. Lineage: Eukaryota; Metazoa; Arthropoda; Insecta; Orthoptera; Acrididae. The transcript is spliced from 2 exons.